UACGUAGGGCGCAAGCGUUGUCCGGAAUUAUUGGGCGUAAAGAGCUCGUAGGCGGCUCGUCGCGUCAGCUGUGAAAACCCGCGGCUUAACCGUGGGCUUGCAGCUGAUACGGGCGGGCUAGAGUUCGGUAGGGGAGACUGGAAUUCCUGGUGUAGCGGUGAAAUGCGCAGAUAUCAGGAGGAACACCGGUGGCGAAGGCGGGUCUCUGGGCCGAUACUGACGCUGAGGAGCGAAAGCGUGGGGAGCGAACAGG
Molecule: ribosomal RNA, 253 nt
Filed under: uncultured bacterium
Lineage: Bacteria
Description: partial 16S ribosomal RNA
Rfam family: Bacterial small subunit ribosomal RNA
Source: RNAcentral